CCUACGGGGGGCAGCAGUGAGGAAUAUUGGUCAAUGGGCGUAAGCCUGAACCAGCCAAGUCGCGUGAGGGAUGAAGGUUCUAUGGAUCGUAAACCUCUUUUAUAAGGGAAUAAAGUGUGGGACGUGUCCAGUUGUGUAUGUACCUUAUGAAUAAGGAUAGGCUAACUCCGGGCCAGCAGCCGCGGUAAUACGGAGGAUCCGAGCGUUAUCCGGAUUUAUUGGGUUUAAAGGGUGCGUAGGCGGCAUUUUAAGUCAGCGGUGAAAGUCUGUGGCUCAACCAUAGAAUUGCCGUUGAAACUGGGAGGCUUGAGUGUGUUUGAGGCAGGCGGAAUGCGUGGUGUAGCGGUGAAAUGCUUAGAUAUCACGCAGAACCCCGAUUGCGAAGGCAGCCUGCCAAGCCAUGACUGACGCUGAUGCACGAAAGCGUGGGUAUCAAACAGGAUUAGAUACCCGAGUAGUC
Molecule: ribosomal RNA, 460 nt
Filed under: uncultured bacterium
Lineage: Bacteria
Description: partial 16S ribosomal RNA
Rfam family: Bacterial small subunit ribosomal RNA
Source: RNAcentral